Molecule: long non-coding RNA, 932 nt
Filed under: Marmota monax (woodchuck)
Lineage: Eukaryota; Metazoa; Chordata; Mammalia; Rodentia; Sciuridae
Source: RNAcentral
GAAAGACCCGAGGGGCUUGGGGUGUUAGCAGAGAAAGGUGCAAGGUUUCCAUCUGCAAAGAGAUUUUCGAGUGACCAUGACCAGCUAAAUUCUACAAACUGAAUAAGUUCUAGCAGGAAUGAAGACAGUUGAUGUCUGUCACUCAAAUGGUCACUCCCAAAUUAUUGAGUCUUAAUAAUAGGGUCUUUUUAAGAUAGUGUUGCCAUUUAUGAUUUGUGUCCUUGAUUUGCAUAAAUAUGAUCAUGUUUCAUGGAUUCUAUAUACAUAAAUUUGCUUACUUAGCAUAGUUUAUGUGCAAGCCCCAAAUUAUUCUUCAUCAUGCUUCUGAGGUUAUUUGCAAAUGUGAAUAGAGUUGUGAAAAUUUUUUGCUGCCUGACAUCCAUGUUAUCUGCUAAGGUUGAAUGAGGCAAUGCUGUGCCUUCCUAUUCCUGCUCUUGAACCGUGAGUAUCCUCUUCAGUAUCUACCUAGUGCUACAUCUUCCAUAGUAACUAUGGUUUAGAUAGGAAAUGUCUCCUAAAAUCUCAUGUGAAACAAUGCAAGAAAGUUUAGAGGUGAAAUAUUGGUUUAUGAGAGUUUUGACCUAAUCAGCACAUUAAUCCCCUGAUAGAGAUUAAUUGGGUGGGAAUUGUAGGCAGGUAGUGGGUGGCUGGAGGAGGUUUGUCAUUAGGGUAUGACUUUGGGGUAAAUAUUUUGUCUUUGGUGAGAGAGGAACUCUCUGUGCUUCCUGGUGCCAUGUCCUGAGCCAUUUUCCUUCACCAUACUCUCUGCCAUAAUGUUCUGCUCCACCUUGGGCCCAAAGCAAUGGAAUUGGCCAUCUAUGAGCUGAGACCACUGAAACUGUGAGACCCAAAAUAUAACAAAAUAAACUUUUUCUUCUUUAAUUGCUCUUUUGGUCACAGCAGUGAAAAAGCUAACUAAAACAAAAGUUUUA